Molecule: long non-coding RNA, 559 nt
Filed under: Strongylocentrotus purpuratus (purple sea urchin)
Lineage: Eukaryota; Metazoa; Echinodermata; Echinoidea; Camarodonta; Strongylocentrotidae
Description: uncharacterized LOC115922221, transcript variant X3
Source: RNAcentral
UUUUCGUACCACGGCGAGGCCGGAUUCCUGUUUUAUCAUGAAUAUUCAUUAGGCAGGGUCGGGGAAAGUCUCGAUUCUCUUAAAUAUUCAUAUCGAGGUGGGAAUGCACGACGCGCGCUAUACUCGCACAAAGUGAGAAGAUUUAGUUCACGGAGAAUGCAUAUGGAUUGAAACUGAAGAGCUGGAAGGAGGACAUUACAACAUCUCUUAUAUUUGCAAGAUGAAGCAGAAAGUCCCAUGCAUGAUGAUGCCUCUCUACAGUGGAUGAUGAAGGCAUUCUGGUUUGCAAACUCAGGAGAGGAACAAAGAACAGAUGUUGACGGGAUCAUAUCUAGAGAUGCGGGCCUACUACACUUCAUACGAGCAAGUGUGCUAAUAUACAUGAAGACUUGGGUUAUAUUUUUUUCUGAAAACUAGGCUACAACUUUAGUGAUGGAUGCAGAAGAUAUCUACACGAGACUACGUCUUAAAGAUGCCACCCUCAUAUAAUGAAAGAGGACAAUAGAGAUGGGUUUAAACUGGAAUAUUUACAUGAUAUUUAUUUGUUAUUUGUAUUAUA